RNAcentral lists this long non-coding RNA (354 nucleotides) under Carica papaya (papaya). Its description in RNAcentral is "long non-coding RNA (CPAP_LNC001731)". Lineage: Eukaryota; Viridiplantae; Streptophyta; Magnoliopsida; Brassicales; Caricaceae. The record is from RNAcentral.
GAGCCCGAAUCUGAUAUAUUGUUGGUCAGUUGUUGUUUGAUCUAUUUUUCAGUAUUAAAUGCAGUAUGGUAUUUGAUGUAUUUAUUUUAUGGUUUCGUAUGCAUGAAUCAUGGUUUCUUUUAUUAUGGUUUGAAUUAUGAUGAACCCGAUAUUGUGUUGUUUUGUUUGGUGUUAUUAUUAGUUUACGUUUUUAUGUAUGAUUGGAAAAUUGAGACAAAGGAAAAUAGAAAAAAAGUUAUGUGAAUUGAUAAAUGGAUAAUGUGGACAGCCUGACUAGAUAUCCUGGGAGAUGGUGGACGGAACGGGUCCGUAGGGAACCCUACCGAGAACGUGAUCUCUCAUAUCGAACGAGGU